GGUGCCAGAUAUCAUGGAAAAACAUCUGCAGUAUGUAGCACUGCUGCAUAAAGGCUAACCAAGGACAGGUGGUCAUCUCCUGUGGACCUAAACACUAAACACAGGCUCUUUCAGCAUCACUCAUCAUGUCCAAGUGACAGGUGGGACAGGUGUGACUAGUGAGACAGGUGUGACUACUGUGACAGGUGGGACAGGUGGGACUAAUAGGACAGGUGUGACUAGUGAGACAGGUGUGACUACUGUGACAGGUGGGACUAAUGGGACAGGUGUGACUACUGUGACAGGUGGGACAGGUGGGACUAGUGUGACAGGUGGGACAGGUGUGACAGGUGGGACUAGUGGGACAGGUGUGACUAAUAGGACAGGUGUGACAGGUGGGACAGGUGGGACAGGAGGUUCUCACAAUGACGGUGCCGGACGUCUUCAUGCCGUGCAGCAGGAUGGCCACCAGAGUGAAGACCAGCAUCAUGGGACCGUACAGCUCCCCCGCCACUUUCUGCACACACACACACAC
This is a long non-coding RNA of Alosa sapidissima (American shad), 514 nucleotides long. RefSeq lists it as uncharacterized. The transcript is spliced from 5 exons. The record is from RefSeq and is a predicted model, not a curated record. NCBI's taxonomy places the organism in Eukaryota, Metazoa, Chordata, Actinopteri, Clupeiformes, Clupeidae.